RNAcentral lists this ribosomal RNA (466 nucleotides) under uncultured bacterium. Its description in RNAcentral is "partial 16S ribosomal RNA". It matches the Rfam family "Bacterial small subunit ribosomal RNA", at positions 28 to 507 of the family's 1533-position model. The record is from RNAcentral.
GAUGAACGCUGGCGGCGUGCUUAACACAUGCAAGUCGAACGGAAAGGCCCAAGCUUGCUUGGGUACUCGAGUGGCGAACGGGUGAGUAACACGUGGGUGAUCUGCCCUGCACUUCGGGAUAAGCCUGGGAAACUGGGUCUAAUACCGGAUAGGACCACAUUUUGGAUGGUGUGGUGGAAAGUUUUUCGGUGUGGGAUGAGCUCGCGGCCUAUCAGCUUGUUGGUGGGGUAAUGGCCUACCAAGGCGUCGACGGGUAGCCGGCCUGAGAGGGUGUACGGCCACAUUGGGACUGAGAUACGGCCCAGACUCCUACGGGAGGCAGCAGUGGGGAAUAUUGCACAAUGGGCGUAAGCCUGAUGCAGCGACGCCGCGUGGGGGAUGACGGCCUUCGGGUUGUAAACUCCUUUCGCUAGGGACGAAGCGUUAUGUGACGGUACCUGGAGAAGAAGCACCGGCUAACUACGUG